This 230-nucleotide ribosomal RNA is filed under the name Achromobacter sp. OUCC BK8. RNAcentral's name for it is "partial 16S ribosomal RNA". It matches the Rfam family "Bacterial small subunit ribosomal RNA", at positions 629 to 859 of the family's 1533-position model. Lineage: Bacteria; Pseudomonadati; Pseudomonadota; Betaproteobacteria; Burkholderiales; Alcaligenaceae. The record is from RNAcentral.
UUAACUACCGGGCUAGAGUGUGUCAGAGGGAGGUGGAAUUCCGCGUGUAGCAGUGAAAUGCGUAGAUAUGCGGAGGAACACCGAUGGCGAAGGCAGCCUCCUGGGAUAACACUGACGCUCAUGCACGAAAGCGUGGGGAGCAAACAGGAUUAGAUACCCUGGUAGUCCACGCCCUAAACGAUGUCAACUAGCUGUUGGGGUCUUCGGACCUUGGUAGCGCAGCUAACGCG